UACGGAGGGUCCAAGCAUUAAUCGGAUUUACUGGGCGUAAAGGGCGCGUAGGCGGAUAGAUAAGUCAGAUGUGAAAUUUCGGUGCUCAACAUCGAAGCUGCAUUUGAAACUGUAGAUCUAGAGGAUGGAAGGAGAAAACGGAAUUCCACGUGUAGCGGUGAAAUGCGUAGAUAUGUGGAAGAACACCUGUGGCGAAAGCGGUUUUCUAUUUUAUUCCUGACGCUGAGGCGCGAGAGCAAGGGGAGCAAACAGG
RNAcentral lists this ribosomal RNA (253 nucleotides) under uncultured bacterium. RNAcentral's name for it is "partial 16S ribosomal RNA". It matches the Rfam family "Bacterial small subunit ribosomal RNA", at positions 524 to 776 of the family's 1533-position model. The record is from RNAcentral.